This 302-nucleotide ribosomal RNA is filed under the name uncultured bacterium. RNAcentral describes it as "partial 16S ribosomal RNA". It matches the Rfam family "Bacterial small subunit ribosomal RNA", at positions 508 to 809 of the family's 1533-position model. The record is from RNAcentral.
GCAGUAGCCGCGGGAACACGUAGGUGGCAAGCGCUGUCCGGAAUUAUUGGGCGUAAAGCGCGCGCAGGCGGAUAGGUCAGUCUGUCUUAAAAGUUCGGGGCUUAACCCCGUGAUGGGAUGGAAACUGCCAAUCUAGAGUAUCGGAGAGGAAAGUGGAAUUCCUAGUGUAGCGGUGAAAUGCGUAGAUAUUAGGAAGAACACCAGUGGCGAAGGCGACUUUCUGGACGAAAACUGACGCUGAGGCGCGAAAGCCAGGGGAGCGAACGGGAUUAGAUACCCCUGUAGUCCCUGUCUCUUAUACA